ACAUGCAAGUCGAACGCUUUGUGGUUCAACUGAUUUGAAGAGCUUGCUCAGAUAUGACGAUGGACAUUGCAAAGAGUGGCGAACGGGUGAGUAACACGUGGGAAACCUACCUCUUAGCAGGGGAUAACAUUUGGAAACAGAUGCUAAUACCGUAUAACAAUGACAACCGCAUGGUUGUUAUUUAAAAGAUGGUUCUGCUAUCACUAAGAGAUGGUCCCGCGGUGCAUUAGCUAGUUGGUAAGGUAAUGGCUUACCAAGGCGAUGAUGCAUAGCCGAGUUGAGAGACUGAUCGGCCACAAUGGGACUGAGACACGGCCCAUACUCCUACGGGAGGCAGCAGUAGGGAAUCUUCCACAAUGGGCGAAAGCCUGAUGGAGCAACGCCGCGUGUGUGAUGAAGGGUUUCGGCUCGUAAAACACUGUUGUAAGAGAAGAAUGACAUUGAGAGUAACUGUUCAAUGUGUGACGGUAUCUUACCAGAAAGGAACGGCUAAAUACGUGCCAGCAGCCGCGGUAAUACGUAUGUUCCAAGCGUUAUCCGGAUUUAUUGGGCGUAAAGCGAGCGCAGACGGUUAUUUAAGUCUGAAGUGAAAGCCCUCAGCUCAACUGAGGAAUUGCUUUGGAAACUGGAUGACUUGAGUGCAGUAGAGGAAAGUGGAACUCCAUGUGUAGCGGUGAAAUGCGUAGAUAUAUGGAAGAACACCAGUGGCGAAGGCGGCUUUCUGGACUGUAACUGACGUUGAGGCUCGAAAGUGUGGGUAGCAAACAGGAUUAGAUACCCUGGUAGUCCACACCGUAAACGAUGAGUGCUAGGUGUUUGAGGGUUUCCGCCCUUAAGUGCCGCAGCUAACGCAUUAAGCACUCCGCCUGGGGAGUACGACCGCAAGGUUGAAACUCAAAGGAAUUGACGGGGACCCGCACAAGCGGUGGAGCAUGUGGUUUAAUUCGAAGCAACGCGAAGAACCUUACCAGGUCUUGACAUCCCUUGACAACUCCAGAGAUGGAGCGUUCCCUUCGGGGACAAGGUGACAGGUGGUGCAUGGUUGUCGUCAGCUCGUGUCGUGAGAUGUUGGGUUAAGUCCCGCAACGAGCGCAACCCUUAUUACUAGUUGCCAGCAUUCAGUUGGGCACUCUAGUGAGACUGCCGGUGACAAACCGGAGGAAGGUGGGGAUGACGUCAAAUCAUCAUGCCCCUUAUGACCUGGGCUACACACGUGCUACAAUGGCGUAUACAACGAGUUGCCAACCCGCGAGGGUGAGCUAAUCUCUUAAAGUACGUCUCAGUUCGGAUUGUAGGCUGCAACUCGCCUACAUGAAGUCGGAAUCGCUAGUAAUCGCGGAUCAGCACGCCGCGGUGAAUACGUUCCCGGGUCUUGUACACACCGCCCGUCACACCAUGAGAGUUUGUAACACCCAAAGCCGGUGGGGUAACCUUCGGGAGCCAGCCGUCUAAAGUG
Molecule: ribosomal RNA, 1456 nt
Filed under: Weissella confusa
Lineage: Bacteria; Bacillati; Bacillota; Bacilli; Lactobacillales; Lactobacillaceae
Description: bacterial SSU rRNA
Rfam family: Bacterial small subunit ribosomal RNA
Source: RNAcentral